GACGAACGCUGGCGGCGUGCUUAACCCAUGCAAGUCGAACGGAAAGACCCUGCUUUUGUGGGGUGCUCGAGUGGCGAACGGGUGAGUAACACGUGAGUAACCUGCCCUUGACUUUGGGAUAACUUCAGGAAACUGGGGCUAAUACCGGAUAGGAGCUCCUGCUGCAUGGUGGGGGUUGGAAAGUUUCGGCGGUUGGGGAUGGACUCGCGGCUUAUCAGCUUGUUGGUGGGGUAGUGGCUUACCAAGGCUUUGACGGGUAGCCGGCCUGAGAGGGUGACCGGCCACAUUGGGACUGAGAUACGGCCCAGACUCCUACGGGAGGCAGCAGUGGGGAAUAUUGCACAAUGGGCGGAAGCCUGAUGCAGCAACGCCGCGUGCGGGAUGACGGCCUUCGGGUUGUAAACCGCUUUCGCCUGUGACGAAGCGUGAGUGACGGUAAUGGGUAAAGAAGCACCGGCUAACUACGUG
RNAcentral lists this ribosomal RNA (468 nucleotides) under uncultured bacterium. RNAcentral's name for it is "partial 16S ribosomal RNA". It matches the Rfam family "Bacterial small subunit ribosomal RNA", at positions 28 to 507 of the family's 1533-position model. The record is from RNAcentral.